GGCGUGCUAAUACUGCAAGUUCGAGCGGAUUUGUCUUCGGGACAAGGUUAGCGGCGGACGGUGAGUAACACGUAGGCAACCGCCCUCAAGACUGGGAUAACCUCCGGAAACGGAUGCUAAUACCAGAUAUGCGGUCUCUCAUCUGGAGGGAUCGGGAAAGACGGAAAAAAAAAACUUGGGGAUGGGCCUUGCGGCGCAUUAGCUAGUUGGUGAGGUAACGGCUCACCAAGGCGACGAUGCGUAGCCGACCUGAGAGGGUGAUCGGCCACACUGGGACUGAGACACGGCCCAGACUCCUACGGGAGGCAGCAGUAGGGAAUCUUCCGCAAUGGACGCAAGUCUGACGGAGCAACGCCGCGGAGGAGGAAGGCCUUCGGGUCGUAAAGCUCUGUUG
This 394-nucleotide ribosomal RNA is filed under the name Paenibacillus sp. CK58. RNAcentral's name for it is "bacterial SSU rRNA". It matches the Rfam family "Bacterial small subunit ribosomal RNA", at positions 41 to 438 of the family's 1533-position model. The record is from RNAcentral. Lineage: Bacteria; Bacillati; Bacillota; Bacilli; Caryophanales; Paenibacillaceae.